UCUUUUUUUUUAUUAACUGGCAUAUUUUGAGAGAGAAACUUCCCCUUCCCAACUAUUUGUUGUUUUUAUUUUUAAAUUUUUUUUUAACUUGCUGAGGUUUGCUGGUAUUCCUAUAUUUAUUCUGCCUGAAGUUGAUGUAUUUAAUCAGUUUUGGAAAAUCAUUGGUUAUUAUGUCUUUAAAUAUUUCUAGUGUCUUUGUUUC
RNAcentral lists this long non-coding RNA (202 nucleotides) under Homo sapiens (human). RNAcentral describes it as "non-protein coding lnc-PRUNE2-2:1". The record is from RNAcentral. Lineage: Eukaryota; Metazoa; Chordata; Mammalia; Primates; Hominidae.